GCUGCGGCUAAACAAAAUGGGAAAGCCAGGGGGAAAGGUGAAGGACGGUGGGGGAGAAGGAACGGCGCUGGCCCAAAACCCUACCUCUAAUGAAGAGGCGGAGCAUAGCAAUGGCCUCAGCCGUAAGAAGAAGAGCAAGGCGAAGGACGGCGGUGGCAAAGGCAACGGGGAGAAGGAGAAGGUUGAAAAGGAGGGCGCCUUCCUCCUGGGCGAGCCGACCUUCCUGGACCUAGGUAACGGGCGAUUGCGUUGCGUGGAGACGGGGCACGAAUUUCUCGCCAAGGACCGGGAGGCCUACGGCCGCACCAAGGCCUGCCGCCUCGCCCUCAUCGAUGCUGCCGUCGCCAGAAAGAAGCCACCCCUCAAUAUGUUCCAGCCCCACCCCACUUCCAAGUCGCAACUGGUGUGCAAGCUUACCGGAGACGCGGUUAAUAAAUCUGAGGAGCAUAUCUGGAAGCACGUCAGUGGAAAGAAAUUCCAGAAUAUGUUAGAACAAAAGGAAAUGGAGUCCCAUGCCAAUGCAGAAGCUGUAGAGAAAAAUGCAAAACAAUCAAAAAAGCAAUUCAAGUCAAAAAAAGAUCAGAAAAAGAAUGCUCAUGAGAGUGAUUCACUUACCAAAAAGACAAAGGCAAACAGUGAUGAUAUAAUUGAGCCUGAUUUCUGGGUUCCUCCUGUUGGAAGUCGCUGGGACUUCGAUGAUGGAGAGGAUCGCUGGGAUUCUCAUGAAAACUCAGAUGAUGAUGCAGAUGGUGGUACAGGCCUAGAUGGAACAUCGGAAAAAGAUGAUCCUGAAACAAGGAAACUUGCCAAGCGGAGUAAGCGAACAUCAAAAUCUGUUGGCCUCAGCAGCUUUGUUUCAAGGAAGAAAAAGAUCAAGAAGGCAACUACAAGCCCUUCUGAGCAGCAGUUAUAACAAGAGCAUAUUCACCUGCAAAGCUUGUGAUUGUCUGCCUUUUGUAUAUGCAACGUCAAGCCGUUUUGAUAUUAUAGAAGCUUUGCAAGCAUUCUCUUGGUUGAGUUUUUCAGGUACUUACAUCCAAUCCUGCAGUGAUUAACUAAACCUAAAUCGAACUGUUGCCUCGUCCGAACUGUUUCACUUGAAGAAUUUCUUUUGAAGGCAUCUGAAACUCUUUGAAAGAUGGCAAUUACUUCCAAAUGUUCAGAAAUUAUCCGCAGCUUAUUUGUUAAAGCUUUUGAUCGCAAACUCACUGUAAUAGUGACAUGAGUAAAUUACUUCAUGAAGUUUAUGAUUACAUUCUUUUGGUUGCA
Musa acuminata AAA Group (dessert banana) is the source of this 1269-nucleotide RNA transcript. RefSeq lists it as uncharacterized. The transcript has 7 exons. The record is from RefSeq and is a predicted model, not a curated record. Lineage: Eukaryota; Viridiplantae; Streptophyta; Magnoliopsida; Zingiberales; Musaceae.